CUGGCUCCCGUGUCGUCACCACGCACGCGGCGUAGAGCGUGCGCGAGGAGGGACGGAUGUCUACGCCCCACAACCCUGGAGAAAUUAUACUGUUUAGCAGGCAUUGCACCACCUGAUAUCUGCCGGGAAGUAGCAGCCAGCAAUGAAAGGACCAAGGCAUUGACAUCUACGGCCCAUCCCCUGUCCGGGUAUCAGCCAGCACACCAAUGCCUUAAAUCAAGAAAGUUUUCUAAGAUCUACAGAGAUACUUACAGGAACACCUCAGCGAGUGAAAGUCCAAAAGUGGCAGGCUAAAACCCAGAACCUCAAGGCCAUGGCUGAUGCCAAAUGAGAGUCUCCCUCCUGGGCACACAGAAGACUGGGCGACUUGGAAGGCUCUGAACAGACUGCACUCUGGCACCAUGAGAUGCAGAGCCACCUUAAGAAAUUGGGCUACAAAGUGGAGUCCGCGAUAUGCGAAUGUGGAGAAGAGCAAACCACAGACCACCUAUUACAAUGCAAACUGAGCCCUGUGACAUACACAAUGGAGAACCUUCUUACAGCAACACCAGAGGCACUCCAAGUGGACAUUUAGUAUAAUGCCAAGUUCUUGCAUUUUUUAACUUUGUGUUUUCAAAUACAGUAGAGUCUGACAGUGUUUUCAAUACAUCAUGAUAUUUUGGUGCUAAAUUCGUAAAUACAGUAAUUACUACAUAGCAUUACUGUGUACUGAACUACUUUUUCUGUCAAAUUUGUUGUAUAACAUGAUGUUUUGGUGCUUAAUUUGUAAAAUCAUAACCUAAUUUAAUGUUUAAUAGGCUUUUCCUUAAUCUCUCCUUAUUAUCCAACAUAUUCGCUUAUCCAAGGUUCUGCCGGCCCGUUUGUGUUGGAUAAGCGAGACUCUACUGUACUGUACAUUACAACUUGUACCCUUGGUUCGCUUCUGACACGAUAAAAUAAACUGUGUAGAUGCACCCAAUAACUCGGAAUUGACUGCAUUAGACCUGUUCGUGAAGGGGCAAGGAUGUAAAAGAUAUAAAAAUACUUCUCUUAAUCCAAAGUCAAAAGCAGGAGGCCCCUUUUCUGUGAAGAGGGCGAGGAAAAACACCACAAAAGUUGGAUCUUUUGCCAAACUGCAAAAGAACUAUUUAUUGCGUGGCCAUAGCAAUGAGACAAAAACAUGCAUACAUGCAAUCAAAGGAUUUGUCUGCAUUUCCAAAAUGGUUGCAAGGUUUUUAUCACCUCCACAGAAAUUAGCAAGCAUAUCCUUAUUGGCUUACAAAGAUCAUUUACCCCAUUUGUCUAAUGUUGUCUACGUCACAAGCAUCUUAACCAUCAUGCAGUCCCAUUGGUUUUCUAUGCUGUAACAACAUGUAAUUCUUUAGACAAUGGUGCUUUCAUGUUAUUGACCCUGACUUGUUGCAAGUAUAUGCUCGAAAUCGUAUGGGAACCGGUUCUGACUUGAUGUAUUGUUAUUAUUUGAAAGUAACUUAUUUUCUCUGGAACAACUCUUUUCCCAAACAUCAGCAUUUUCUCUCAAGCGUGGGCCUUCCUCAAACAUAGGCCUUUUGCAACUUAGGUCAAUCAAAACAUAUGGGACUUAUAGCCAUUACAAGUAUCUUUGAAAAUUCUUUUUAAAUCCACGUCUCCCUCAUUAGGAUCACAACUUAAUGGGAUAGCAAAAUGUGACAGAAUGAAAAAUCAAAAUGCAUAGUCCUCGCACUGCCUUGCCAGAGAAAGAAGAUAUGUGCCACGCAGGUGAACAAUAAAGAACAAGUGGUUUAUUCUUAAACCCAGAACAACAUAUGUACAAUGUGCUCAGUUGCACCAACUCACAUAAUGACCUUUUAUGAGAGAUUUAAAAUAAGUCUGUCCUUUUUCAAUGUGGAUAAUGCCUUCCAACAUCUCAUGAAGCAAGAGCAGACUUCAAACUCUCUCUCUCUGCUUCUUUCUUCCAACUGUCUCUGCCCCUGCUUAGCCCAUGCCUGAACAAAAUUGCUACAGUAUCAAAAAACCCCAGGCUUAACAGCUCUCCAGACAUGCCUUAACCCAGACAUGGGCAAACUUCGGUUUGGGAAUAAAAUAUAACAUGGGUUCAUGUUGAAUUCACUGGUAGCUCUGUUUUUUUUAAAAUCAGAUUUAAGUUUUCUAUUAACACCUCUUAUCAUUGUGUAUUUUGAAAAUAAAUGUACAUUGACUAGAUUAUCUCUAUCUGAAAUUGAGUAGGGUCACUCUCCUUCCAUUCAUGCAUCUGGGUUUGUCAGGUAUUUGUUAUCCCAUGCGUGUGUGUGUGUGUGUGUGUGUGUGUGUAUAUAUAUAUAUAUAUAUAUAUAUAUAUACACACACACAUAUACAUACCUGUGCAUGUGUGUAAAUUCCUGAUUCUGUAGGUUUGUUCUUAAGUUGAAUUUUUACGUAAGUUAGAACAUAUACAUUUUUAGUGUAACUCCAGCCAAAAACUUAUUUUUAAAAUUUGGGAUAGCAUAGGGAAGGGUAAAUACCCAUAUGGUGUUUGUUUUGCUGUCUAUGUUCCUGUUUUGAAGGUUUGACCUCGCUUUCUGUCUCUGAUACUUGGAUUUUGAAAAACAUGGCUUGUUGUGGAAACUGAGAUUGGUGAUAAAUCUUCAGUGGAGACUUUUUCCUCACGAUAACUCUUUCAGAGGUGAAUUUUCCUUCCUAGGAUUAAUUUCUCUCACUUCCUGUUGUCUCACUCCUGUUCUUAACUAUGAGUGUUAAUUAUUUUAUUUAUUUAUUUACUAUAUUUAUACCCUGCUCUUCUCACCCCGAAGGGGACUCAGAGCGGCUUACAGGUUAUGACAAAAUGUAAUGCCAUGUUGUACAUAGACACACAAAUAUAACAUUUUGAAUUGUAAAACAGAUUGCAACAUAUAGAUGCAAUAAAACAAAUCAUCCUGUCUCCCUGAUAAUCUGACAGGGAAAAUGCUUCACCCUGGGCUGUGUGUAUUUUAAAGAUAGUAGUUCUGGUGAGAAUAGGGGAGGGUAGACCUGAGCCAAAGUCAGAGCCAGUCCGUGUUAGACUUCAUAUUAAUUCACAUAAUCCAUCAGGUCAUAUCAACUCAUAUCCUAGAAUUUUUGUAACUCUGGAGCAAACAACAAUUUAUUUUCAGGAUAUUUGAAGUAAGAUACUUUAAUAUAGUGGAUGGAAUGUAAAUAUUCAUAUUUGAGAAAAGGGUUCAUAUAUAGACAAUCUUUCACUCAAUAUAUCUCGUACACGUCAUUGAUUCAGUUCAGAGGUUACAAAAGGGGUUGUUUAGUACCAAUUAAGCCAACAGUCCUAUAGCCACUUGAAAGUAAACCCUAUAUCUAAGUAGACAUUGUGCUAAGUCAGGAUAAGUGAAUAUACAAAACACUCCAAGCCCCAAAGUCAUAGGCAACAUAGUUAAUGAUGAGGCAUUGAAUUCUUGUGAGUUGAAUUCCAGCAAUUCUUAGAGGACUAUGCUUUACUCACCCUAUGCUAAAUUAUUGUUUCAGAAACAUGCAGUCUUUACAAUUUCUUAUAAUGAAAGCCCUUUAAAAUCUUUUUAAUCUGAUCUGGUCCUGAAUUGCUUUUGGUGAUAGUGUAAUUUCUUUAAAUUUAAGGUUGCAUUUAAGGUGACUGAUUGGAAUUGUAUAAUAAGUUCCUGAAAUACAGGAAAACACUUAUGAAUACACCUGUAUAUCAUUGUAUUUACGUGUCUCCUGUUGUUCAAAGCUUUUUGCCCAUGGCUUUGCAUUUCUUGUGAAACCUGUAAACUUUUAUCACUGACCACAGUGCUCCGUAAGUUUAUUUCCCCUCCAGUCAGAUAUAGUACCUUCUCCAUAAUCCUCUAUAUCAGUGGUUCCCAACCUUUGGCCCUCCAGGUGUUUUGGAGUUCAUCUCCCAGAAAUCUCACCCAACUUAUCAUCUGUUAGGACACCUGAAGGACCAAAGGAACCACUGCUCUAUAUCCUUAACAGAGUUUUCUUAUUCUUACCAUUAUUGUACACCUGAAAAUACUUACUUGCAACACAAUUACCAUUCAAUUCCAAGCUUAGUAGGUGAAUAAUCAUAGGUGGGAAUGAUCAGUUCAGAAGAGUGCACCCAGAAACCACAAGUUACAGGGUGAUUUACCCACAUUUUAUUUAAUUGACUUACACUUUGACAAGAUAACAAAAGGAAUUAAAACAAUGAACGAACUAUUGGACAGAUCGGAAUGAAUGUUUGCUUGUUUACAAUCAAUUCUGCUUGGUAUGUAUUGAUUCAUCUCUGUCUAGCUUUGUGUGAUGUUCAGUAUAGACUCCUUUCACCAGCUAAAUAGAAAUGAGACUGUCAUUAAUUCUGGAGAGUACUAACUGAAUAGGUACUAAGAUUGGCAGUGAAAUAAGGAACUCUUCCUGCAUCUUUAUGGGCAGUAAAAAAGGCAACACCUGUUGAAAUUCCCUACGUCCUGGGAUCAGUCUUGAUGGCAGUGUUACCCUGUUUUCCUGAAAAUACGGCAGUGUCUUAUAUUAAUUUUUGCUCUCAAAGAUGCGCUAGGUCUUAUUUUCAGGG
Molecule: long non-coding RNA, 4510 nt
Organism: Anolis carolinensis (green anole)
Lineage: Eukaryota; Metazoa; Chordata; Lepidosauria; Squamata; Anolidae
Exons: 2
Source: RefSeq, a predicted model, not a curated record